Molecule: long non-coding RNA, 1333 nt
Organism: Herpailurus yagouaroundi (jaguarundi)
Lineage: Eukaryota; Metazoa; Chordata; Mammalia; Carnivora; Felidae
Exons: 5
Source: RefSeq, a predicted model, not a curated record
AGAAAACACCUAAGGUCGGCACCCAUGUGCCAAUUGGAGGUGUUUUCUUCUCUUCCGUCUCGGGAGAUGUUGAAACACGGGCAAUAUGUGUGAAGGGUUCCUUUCCUCUGGGAUCACGUGGCGGGGGUCCUAACCUCCCAGCCCAGGGGGAGGCUGAUUCCCAACUUCCUGCAGGGGCCGCAGACCCAGAGCCCCAGGACAGAGGCCUGCAGGACAGCUCCAGGCCAGCUGCCGCCACCCAGGAGGAGACCCUCUAUGCCGCCGUGCAAGACGCACAGCCCGAGGAGGGGGUGGAGCUGGACCAGCGGCAGGACGCGGAGGAUGGAGACCCCCAAGGAACGACGUAUGCCCAGGCUGCCGCACCUGACGCCCCCCCAGAUGUGACCUACGCCCAGCUGAACCGCUUGACGCUCAGACGGGAGACGAGUGCACCCCAUUCCUCCCAAGCCGGGGAGCCUCCAGCAGAGCCCAGCGUGUAUGCUGCUCUGGCCAUCCGCUAGCCCAGGAAGGACCCACAGCCCACACUCCAGGGAGGGCACCGCGGGGACCCCAGGAGGCGCAGGAGCUGCCCACAGAGGCCGCCUAAUGGCCCCAGCCAGCCUGGACUCCUAACAUAGACCAGUAAGAACUCCUGGGACCCUCUGGGAGUGACCGGAUUCUGCCAUCAAAGAUAGCUAGAGCCCCUACAUUUUGGAAAUAAAGCAACAGACUUCUCGAUAAUCCGUGAGUGAAAUAAGAAAACCAAAAUGGAAAUGGGAGAAUGCUUACGCUGAAUAAUGUAAAUGUUACACAUCAGACCUAUGGCGCAGGAAAAUUAGCAACCAGGAACGAACGUAUUAGAAAAGAAAAAGCCUAAAAAGUCAAUAGCAUAAAUUAUUGUACCAAGAAUUUAGAAAAAAACAGCAAAUUAUUCCAAAUGAAGGUAGAAGGAAGGAAAUUAUAGCGAUAAGAGUAGCUACUAAUGAAGACAAACAAAAAAUAGAGCAUAAUCAAUAAAGCCCAAAACGUUUAUUCAUGAAAACAUGAAACAUAUUCAUAAACCCUAGCCACAAUGCCAAGAAAGACAGAGAGAGAGAGAGAGAGACAGAGACAAAGAGGACAUUAUGAGCACAGCAUCACAUCCUAUAGACUUUAAAUACAUAACAGAAUUAUUGUUUAUUUUUAUUACUUAUUAUUAUAUUAUUAACGAUUUUGUGCUAAUACAUUAGAAAAUGUAGAGGAAAUGGACAAUUCUCAAAAAUGCAAAAUGAUGAAUAGGGAUAAAUAGAAACUCUAAAUGCCGUAUGUAUAAAAUAUGUUGAAUACACAAUUAAAGUUUUUUCCACAAAGUGAA